This 253-nucleotide ribosomal RNA is filed under the name uncultured bacterium. RNAcentral's name for it is "partial 16S ribosomal RNA". It matches the Rfam family "Bacterial small subunit ribosomal RNA", at positions 524 to 776 of the family's 1533-position model. The record is from RNAcentral.
UACGGAGGGAGCUAGCGUUGUUCGGAAUUACUGGGCGUAAAGCGCACGUAGGCGGCUUUGUAAGUUAGAGGUGAAAGCCCGGGGCUCAACUCCGGAACUGCCUUUAAGACUGCAUCGCUUGAAUCCAGGAGAGGUGAGUGGAAUUCCGAGUGUAGAGGUGAAAUUCGUAGAUAUUCGCAAGAACACCAGUGGCGAAGGCGGCUCACUGGCCCGGUACUGACGCUGAGGGGCGAAAGCGUGGGGAGCAAACAGG